GCUUUCGUAGCUCAAUUGGUAGAGCACCCGUUUAGUAAGCGGGAGGUAAUGAGAUCAAAGCUCAUCGAAAGCA
RNAcentral lists this transfer RNA (73 nucleotides) under Yellowstone lake phycodnavirus 2. It matches the Rfam family "tRNA". Rfam says of the family: Transfer RNA (tRNA) molecules are approximately 80 nucleotides in length. Lineage: Varidnaviria; Bamfordvirae; Nucleocytoviricota; Megaviricetes; Algavirales; Phycodnaviridae. The record is from Rfam by way of RNAcentral.